GGUGUCUGAAGCAGCAGUUUACUGCGGUCCUGAAUAUCCCCACCGAUGUGGUAUGGCAAACCACAGUUCGCAAAAGAUACAAAUUUACCACGUUCGAACAUGAUGAUUUCAGCGUCUUCACUCAGACGCCUUGCUCGUGCCGCUGCUGAUGCGCCUCCCGCGACCCCAC
Molecule: antisense RNA, 169 nt
Filed under: Photobacterium ganghwense
Lineage: Bacteria; Pseudomonadati; Pseudomonadota; Gammaproteobacteria; Vibrionales; Vibrionaceae
Description: Vibrio RNA AS7
Rfam family: Vibrio RNA AS7
About the family: Identified by direct cloning an parallel sequencing experiments with 5S/tRNA depletion.
Source: Rfam by way of RNAcentral